UGGGGUGUGGCCAAGUGGUAAGRCAACAGUUUUUGGUACUGAAGAUCGUAGGUUCGAAUCCUACCACCCCAGCCA
RNAcentral lists this transfer RNA (75 nucleotides) under Paracoccaceae bacterium. RNAcentral describes it as "Rhodobacteraceae bacterium tRNA-Gln". It matches the Rfam family "tRNA". From Rfam's summary of the family: Transfer RNA (tRNA) molecules are approximately 80 nucleotides in length. Their secondary structure includes four short double-helical elements and three loops (D, anti-codon, and T loops). Further hydrogen bonds mediate the characteristic L-shaped molecular structure. tRNAs have two regions of fundamental functional importance: the anti-codon, which is responsible for specific mRNA codon recognition, and the 3' end, to which the tRNAs corresponding amino acid is attached (by aminoacyl-tRNA synthetases). tRNAs cope with the degeneracy of the genetic code in two manners: having more than one tRNA (with a specific anti-codon) for a particular amino acid; and 'wobble' base-pairing, i.e. permitting non-standard base-pairing at the 3rd anti-codon position. The record is from RNAcentral. Lineage: Bacteria; Pseudomonadati; Pseudomonadota; Alphaproteobacteria; Rhodobacterales; Paracoccaceae.